AAUUGCAAGGCAAUAUUCAAGAAUCUAUGCAUAUGGUUACCGCAUAAUUCAUCCUUUGGAUCCUGAAUGCUCUAGGACGGUCUAGGGUUAAAUUAUCAACCCUGAUGGAUCAUCCUCAUUGUGUUUCAACCUUUUAAAUCCAUCACAUGGAUUAUCCUAUUCAAAGUUUUACUAAAUUGAAAUACAGUGAUGCAUUAGCUUCUAUAAUUCGGAGGGAUCAAUUCUAUUUUAAUCCACAUACAGACUUCGCAAGUAUUUAACUCUACCCAGUGGUCUUCCGUCACUGUAUUAGAAAUGCAGAUAGUUCGGCAUCAAAGUACAGUGAGUUGCUUGCAAGUCACUAUGGUGAUCUCAGAUCUGAGGGACACUUAUGCCCUUACGCUUCGCGAAUUAUUUUUGACAGCAGAGCGCUUAGUAGGUGAGUCACUUGUUUAGUGACGAUAUACUCCUACAUCUCGUCUGUAUGUCAUACCAGUGUCUUCACACUCUUUGAUUAAGAGGACAACCCAUAUGGCACAAUAAUCUUCACUCGAUAAACCUCGUCGUCUUUUAAUGACGUAUCAUUUGAUCACGAACAUUGUUUAAGAACUAUACGAUAAAUUCUCCUUUAUCGAUUACUUUAUAGUUGUAAGGACUUUAUCACAACACGAGUUUUAGCAAGGAAGAUGUAACUUUGUGAUGAAUGAUGCAAAAAUAACUUCUAUUAAUUGAUAAAUAAUUCAUAUACAUAUAACAAAAUAGAGCACAAUCGUCCAUACGAUUGGCUUUAGGACACAUUUUCUAACAACUUUAUUUGAACUAAAAUCAAUCGGGAUAGUAUCUUAUACCCAUCUUCCACUUAUGAUCAUCAAACUCUUUGAUCCUGAG
RNAcentral lists this long non-coding RNA (867 nucleotides) under Elaeis guineensis (African oil palm). RNAcentral describes it as "long non-coding RNA (EGUI_LNC035074)". The record is from RNAcentral. Lineage: Eukaryota; Viridiplantae; Streptophyta; Magnoliopsida; Arecales; Arecaceae.